This 301-nucleotide ribosomal RNA is filed under the name uncultured bacterium. RNAcentral's name for it is "partial 16S ribosomal RNA". It matches the Rfam family "Bacterial small subunit ribosomal RNA", at positions 509 to 807 of the family's 1533-position model. The record is from RNAcentral.
CAGCAGCCGCGGGAAUACGAAGGGUGCAAGCGUUAAUCGGAAUUACUGGGCGUAAAGCGUGCGUAGGCGGUGAGUUAAGUCUGCUGUGAAAUCCCCGGGCUCAACCUGGGAAUGGCAGUGGAUACUGGCUCGCUAGAGUGUGUCAGAGGAUGGUGGAAUUCCCGGUGUAGCGGUGAAAUGCGUAGAGAUCGGGAGGAACAUCAGUGGCGAAGGCGGCCAUCUGGGACAACACUGACGCUGAGGCACGAAAGCGUGGGGAGCAAACAGGAUUAGAUACCCCCGUAGUCCCUGUCUCUUAUAC